GGUAAGGUAACGGCUUACCAUGGCAACGAUAGGUAGGGGCCCUGAGAGGGGGAUCCCCCACACUGGUACUGAGACACGGACCAGACUCCUACGGGAGGCAGCAGUGAGGAAUAUUGGGCAAUGGAGGAGACUCUGACCCAGCCAUGCCGCGUGCAGGAAGACUGCCCUAUGGGUUGUAAACUGCUUUUAUACAGGAAGAAACACUAGUACGUGUACUAGCUUGACGGUACUGUAAGAAUAAGGACCGGCUAACUCCGUGCCAGCAGCCGCGGUAAUACGGAGGGUCCGAGCGUUAUCCGGAAUCAUUGGGUUUAAAGGGUCCGCAGGCGGUCAAUUAAGUCAGAGGUGAAAUACCAUAGCUCAACUAUGGAACUGCCUUUGAUACUGGUUGACUUGAGUUAUAUGGAAGUAGAUAGAAUGUGUAGUGUAGCGGUGAAAUGCAUAGAGAUUACACAGAAUACCGAUUGCGAAGGCAGUCUACUACGUAUAUACUGACGCUGAGGGACGAAAGCGUGGGGAGCGAACAGGAUUAGAUACCCUGGUAGUCCACGCCGUAAACGAUGGAUACUAGUUGUUGGGCAUUAGCUCAGUGACUAAGCGAAAGUGAUAA
This 610-nucleotide ribosomal RNA is filed under the name uncultured Polaribacter sp. RNAcentral's name for it is "bacterial SSU rRNA". It matches the Rfam family "Bacterial small subunit ribosomal RNA", at positions 251 to 863 of the family's 1533-position model. The record is from RNAcentral. Lineage: Bacteria; Pseudomonadati; Bacteroidota; Flavobacteriia; Flavobacteriales; Flavobacteriaceae.